UACGUAGGGUGCAAGCGUUGUCCGGAAUUAUUGGGCGUAAAGAGCUCGUAGGCGGUUUGUCACGUCGGAUGUGAAAGCCCGGGGCUUAACCCCGGGUCUGCAUUCGAUACGGGCAGACUGGAGUGAGGUAGGGGAGAUCGGAAUUCCUGGUGUAGCGGUGAAAUGCGCAGAUAUCAGGAGGAACACCGGUGGCGAAGGCGGAUCUCUGGGCCAUUACUGACGCUGAGGAGCGAAAGCGUGGGGAGCGAACAGG
Molecule: ribosomal RNA, 253 nt
Filed under: uncultured bacterium
Lineage: Bacteria
Description: partial 16S ribosomal RNA
Rfam family: Bacterial small subunit ribosomal RNA
Source: RNAcentral